GGUUGGUCCUCUCGCAACAAUAGUUCGUGAACUCGGUCAGAUCCGGAAGGAAGCAGCCGCAGCGAAUGACUUGUGUGCCGGGAUGUGGCUGGCCCCC
RNAcentral lists this signal recognition particle RNA (97 nucleotides) under Vibrio rarus. RNAcentral's name for it is "Bacterial small signal recognition particle RNA". It matches the Rfam family "Bacterial small signal recognition particle RNA". Rfam says of the family: The signal recognition particle (SRP) is a universally conserved ribonucleoprotein involved in the co-translational targeting of proteins to membranes. Archaeal SRP consists of a 7S RNA and homologues of the eukaryotic SRP19 and SRP54 proteins. Lineage: Bacteria; Pseudomonadati; Pseudomonadota; Gammaproteobacteria; Vibrionales; Vibrionaceae. The record is from RNAcentral. RNAcentral also lists the same sequence under 1 other name.